RNAcentral lists this ribosomal RNA (465 nucleotides) under Vreelandella stevensii. RNAcentral's name for it is "partial 16S ribosomal RNA". It matches the Rfam family "Bacterial small subunit ribosomal RNA", at positions 338 to 795 of the family's 1533-position model. Lineage: Bacteria; Pseudomonadati; Pseudomonadota; Gammaproteobacteria; Oceanospirillales; Halomonadaceae. The record is from RNAcentral.
CCUACGGGAGGCAGCAGUGGGGAAUAUUGGACAAUGGGGGGAACCCUGAUCCAGCCAUGCCGCGUGUGUGAAGAAGGCCCUCGGGUUGUAAAGCACUUUCAGUGAGGAAGAACGCCUGGUGGUUAAUACCCAUCAGGAAAGACAUCACUCACAGAAGAAGCACCGGCUAACUCCGUGCCAGCAGCCGCGGUAAUACGGAGGGUGCGAGCGUUAAUCGGAAUUACUGGGCGUAAAGCGCGCGUAGGUGGCUUGAUAAGCCGGUUGUGAAAGCCCCGGGCUCAACCUGGGAACGGCAUCCGGAACUGUCAAGCUCGAGUGCAGGAGAGGAAGGUAGAAUUCCCGGUGUAGCGGUGAAAUGCGUAGAGAUCGGGAGGAAUACCAGUGGCGAAGGCGGCCUUCUGGACUGACACUGACACUGAGGUGCGAAAGCGUGGGUAGCAAACAGGAUUAGAUACCCUGGUAGUC